AUCCAGCUAACAAGUCCCAAAUAGGAUGAAACGCGCGUUAAACUGCAU
RNAcentral lists this non-coding RNA (48 nucleotides) under Schistosoma margrebowiei. Lineage: Eukaryota; Metazoa; Platyhelminthes; Trematoda; Strigeidida; Schistosomatidae. The record is from RNAcentral.